AACGCUUGCUUAACAUCACGGGCAAGACGAUGUGAAAGACACUUUCAGAAAGGCGGGAAAAGCAUCUGCCAGAACAUCCAUAAAAAAUGUGGCGACAGUUUCCUGGACCCUCCCGUCAUCCCGGUGCCUUAAACUAUACAUACGUAAUGCUGUCUGUCUGUUACACAGAUGCACUGAACAUCAUCUGUUUGUGUUUCAGAGGCUGCAAACAUCAGAGAAGAAGAGCAGAAGCACACUUAAAGUGGCUCUGACGUCUGUAACUGAGACAGAUGACCUGCCCACUAUUGAUUCAGACAGUGAGAUAGAGGAAGAGAAGUCAGCUUUAAAAGAGCACAUCGACUUUCUAAAUCCUGUCGCUUCACCAACCAAGAUUUCAGACUACUCCUCUUAUGAUGAUAAUGAUGACGAUCCCGAAGAAAGCAGAGCAGACUCUUCCUUUCUGGACGCAGCUGAGACCAGCAGGCAGUCGGUCAGCGAGCGGGUCCGAUCUGCUCAGGCGAUUCUUCAGACACGUCAGAAACAAUUCCCUAAGAGCAUCAAGACCCCAGAGGACUCUCUCAAGAGGAGGAGGUUUGAAAGGUAUGAUCUAUGGUACUUGGAUCUUAAUCUUCAUUUCAGUGCAACCCUGUGCAAGAUGAACUCAAUUUAUGAGUUCAGUGACUGGCUUUAUGAUUGGGAUUUAUCGUCUUAA
Molecule: long non-coding RNA, 691 nt
Organism: Cyprinus carpio (common carp)
Lineage: Eukaryota; Metazoa; Chordata; Actinopteri; Cypriniformes; Cyprinidae
Source: Ensembl